RNAcentral lists this long non-coding RNA (281 nucleotides) under Helianthus annuus (common sunflower). RNAcentral's name for it is "hypothetical non coding rna". The record is from RNAcentral. Lineage: Eukaryota; Viridiplantae; Streptophyta; Magnoliopsida; Asterales; Asteraceae.
GCAAGAUCAGAUGUCGUUGUGAAAUCCGUCGAAGAUUAGCACUCGGCGACUACAGCUCUAAAUUAGAUCGAAAUAGCAUGGGACCACGAAGAUCAAGUGAGUUCCAUCCAGAGGUCCCAAGAGUGAGACGUGACGGUUCUUAUAUAUACGAGUAGUUUAUGCCAACUGGAGGAACAGAUGUUAAGGUGUAUACAGUUGGUGCAGAGUAUGCACACGCUGAGGCAAGAAAAUCUCCGGUUGUUGAUAGUGUCGUGAUGUGAAAUCCAGAUGGCAAAGUAAGU